RNAcentral lists this long non-coding RNA (257 nucleotides) under Lathyrus oleraceus (garden pea). Its description in RNAcentral is "Pisum sativum (pea) long non-coding RNA (PSAT_LNC018178)". Lineage: Eukaryota; Viridiplantae; Streptophyta; Magnoliopsida; Fabales; Fabaceae. The record is from RNAcentral.
AACUCUAUCAAUGAAGUCAACGGCUCACGAUGAAAGCUGUAGGAACAGGUCUUCCGCUUCGGCUCUGGGACUGUUGCCAUCUCUAUCAGUGAACAAGCUCUGGAAUGUACCUGAGAAAUGAUAUGCAUGCAGAGAUUAGUUUUUUUUUCUUUUUUUUUCCUUGUUUCUCUUUUUUUUCAUUCACUCAUUUUUUAUUGCGUUUCUUUUGAAAAAUAAAUAUGCUAUGAUGCACAUGAUGCAGACACAACUGGCUGGCC